AUUGAACGCUGGCGGCAGGCUUAACACAUGCAAGUCGAGCGAGCGGCGGACGGGUGAGUAAUGUCUGGGAACCUGCCUGAUGGAGGGGGAUAACUACUGGAAACAGUGGCUAAUACCGCAUACCAUCAGAUGUGCCCAGAUGGGAUUAGCUAGUAGGUGGGGUAAUGGCUCACCUAGGCGACGAUCCCUAGCUGGUCUGAGAGGAUGACCAGCCACACUGGGACUGAGACACGGUCCAGACUCCUACGGGAGGCAGCAGUGGGGAAUAUUGGACAAUGGGCGCAAGCCUGAUGCAGCCAUGCCGCGUGUGUGAAGAAGGCCUUCGGGUUGUAAAGCACUUUUAGCGGGGAGGCGGUACUCGCAGAAGAAGCACCGGCUAACUCCGUGCCAGCAGCCGCGGUAAUAC
This 406-nucleotide ribosomal RNA is filed under the name uncultured bacterium. RNAcentral's name for it is "partial 16S ribosomal RNA". It matches the Rfam family "Bacterial small subunit ribosomal RNA", at positions 30 to 526 of the family's 1533-position model. The record is from RNAcentral.